Leopardus geoffroyi (Geoffroy's cat) is the source of this 1625-nucleotide long non-coding RNA. RefSeq lists it as uncharacterized. The record is from RefSeq and is a predicted model, not a curated record. The transcript has 3 exons. NCBI's taxonomy places the organism in Eukaryota, Metazoa, Chordata, Mammalia, Carnivora, Felidae.
ACGCGCCGGGUCGCAGCCCUCUUGCUGGGCGUGCGGAGGUGGCGGGAAACCGCUGGAGCCUACCCAGACCACCUGGCUACAGAGAUUUUGCCCCAUCAGUCAUCCUCACCCUGCCCUGUAUCUGCAGCCUUUCUUCUACUUUGGCUUUUCCCCAUAAGAAAAGCUUCUGCUGAUCAGGAUGGCACAGUAGAAAGCUGGAUCAUUCUACUAUCCCUAGAGACUGCAGUGCAGCUAUGAGGGAACAAACAACAGACCAACAGAAGGCAAGAAUCCUUACCACGUCAGUCUCCCAGAUCUCUGACUCUAGUACCCAGUAAAGAGAGGAAUACAAACAUUUCUCUUUGUCCUUUCCUUUCUAAGCUCAUAAUGGCAGGAGAGUAACUUUGGUAAAAUAGAUCUUGAAUCAUGAAUUUGGUUUGGGGUUCCUAUAGGUUAUGGAUUCUUAGCCUCCCAGAAGUUUUUCAUGUUUGCAUUGUCUGACUUUUGUGUCAUUUGUCAUGAUGAAAAUCAUGAGAAUCUUCAUUUGUGUUGUUUUAUUACUAAGAACUUGGAUCUGUAACUAGUGAGAAUAUUCUCUCUGGUCUCUGGCACUUGGGGAGGGGGGGUUGUACAGGCUGUUGGGCUUGCAUCAGGCAGCCAGCCAGCGGGCUAGGGUACUAUUACCAUCUCUGUUUUCAUUCCCUUGUUUGUGCUGGGAAAAUUCCCAUUCUGGUACCACCUUUCAGGAAACAUAGAUUAGUGGAUCUGUGAAUUAAAAUGUCUCACUUUGUGGGAAACAGAACUUUCUUUACCACCUGUGACAAUGAAGGUCUUUGCUUUCUUAUACUAUCUUUGGAGUGGUUCUGCAUCUUGAGAGGGCCAUAUCGUUGGCAUUCUCUUUGAGGACACCCCUGUGUCCAUGGUUUGCCAUAAAAGGCUUAUUGAUUUUAAGCCAUAAAAAGGCUUAUUGGUUUGGAAUCAUAGUUGAAGUAGGUAUACCUUUGAAAAUUUGGACUUUUACAUCUAAAGGAUUUUUAAGAGAGCUCUCAUCCUAAACAAAUGCCCUGUUGGUACUUAUAGGAAGAUCAGAUAAGAAAGAGAGAAAGGAAGGAAGGAAGGAGAGAAAAGAAAGAACAGUUAUAGAAGAUACAUGGCUAGUGUGAGGGAAAAAAAACUUCACAAACUUCCUUAACUAGAUUAGGAAGUAGAGAUCAGACUCAGAACAAAUGCUAAGGACUGCAAAGGACACUCAAGCAGGCGUGAAAGAUGAAAAUACUGAUAGCUGGGAACUAGCUUUGAGAAAAGCACAGAAAAGGCACAAGAAGGCUUGACUUAUUGUCCCUUACUCUGUAAGCAAAUCCCACGAAGUCUAGGCCUUCCCAUUAUUUUUGGCUUCUGCUGCAGGCAAAAAAAUUCAUCAGACUGUCCCUACCCUUAAAAACAAAAACAAAAACAAAAAGCUUCGUAGUAAUUGUUAGGAUGUCCUUGGAACCACAGUAGAGGGGGCGGCCAUCUUGCCAGCGCAACCCAACGAAAAGCCCCUAGUAGCGUGCCAGAACGAAUUGGAGGUCAACCAGUCACCAAGCGACAGCACGACCUGUCGCGAAAAAGGCCCUCCCCGACCUAAACCGGGAACCCCUGCAGCU